Molecule: transfer RNA, 71 nt
Filed under: Loxodonta africana (African savanna elephant)
Lineage: Eukaryota; Metazoa; Chordata; Mammalia; Proboscidea; Elephantidae
Rfam family: tRNA
About the family: Transfer RNA (tRNA) molecules are approximately 80 nucleotides in length. Their secondary structure includes four short double-helical elements and three loops (D, anti-codon, and T loops).
Source: Rfam by way of RNAcentral
GCGGUGGUGGUUUAGUGGUAGAAUUCUAGUCUUCCAUGCAGGAGGCCCAGGUAUGAGUCCUGGCCAACGCA